Molecule: ribosomal RNA, 255 nt
Filed under: uncultured bacterium
Lineage: Bacteria
Description: partial 16S ribosomal RNA
Rfam family: Bacterial small subunit ribosomal RNA
Source: RNAcentral
UACGUAGGGGGCUAGCGUUGUCCGGAAUCAUUGGGCGUAAAGAGCGUGUAGGCGGUCCGGUAAGUCCGCUGUGAAAGUCGGGGGGCUCAACCCUCGAAUGCCGGUGGAUACUGGCUCGCUAGAGUGCGGUAGAGGAGAGUGGAAUUCCCGGUGUAGCAGUGAAAUGCGUAGAGAUCGGGGAGGAACAUCAGUUGCGAAGGCGGCUCUCUGGACCAGCACUGACACUGAGGCACGAAAGCGUGGGGAGCAAACAGG